GACGAACGCUGGCGGCGUGCUUAACACAUGCCAGUCGAACGGAAAGGCCCUGCUUUUGUGGGGUGCUCGAGUGGCGAACGGGUGAGUAACACGUGAGUAACCUGCCCUUGACUUUGGGAUAACUUCAGGAAACUGGGGCUAAUACCGGAUAGGAGCUCCUGCUGCAUGGUGGGGGUUGGAAAGUUUCGGCGGUUGGGGAUGGACUCGCGGCUUAUCAGCUUGUUGGUGGGGUAGUGGCUUACCAAGGCUUUGACGGGUAGCCGGCCUGGGAGGGUGGCCGGCCACAAGGGUACUACGGUACGGCGCAGACGGCUACGGUAGGCAGCAGGGGGGAAUAUUGCCCAGUGGGCCGGAGUCUGUUGCAACAGCCUCGCGUGCGUAAUGACCGCCUGCGGGGUAUGAACAGCUGUCGCCUGUGACGAAGCGUGAGUGACGGUAAUGGGUAAAUAAGCACCGGCUAACUACGUG
RNAcentral lists this ribosomal RNA (468 nucleotides) under uncultured bacterium. Its description in RNAcentral is "partial 16S ribosomal RNA". It matches the Rfam family "Bacterial small subunit ribosomal RNA", at positions 28 to 507 of the family's 1533-position model. The record is from RNAcentral.